UACGGAGGGUGCAAGCGUUGUUCGGAAUUACUGGGCGUAAAGCGCAUGCAGGUGGCUGAGUAAGUCGAAUGUGAAAGCCCCGGGCUCAACUCGGGAACUGCAUCCGAAACUGCUUGGCUAGAGUCCCGGAGGGGAGGGCAGAAUUCCCAAUGUAGGGGUGAAAUCCGUAGAUAUUGGGAGGAAUACCGGUGGCGAAGGCGGCCCUCUGGACGGUGACUGACACUCAGAUGCGAAAGCGUGGGGAGCAAACAGG
This 253-nucleotide ribosomal RNA is filed under the name uncultured bacterium. RNAcentral describes it as "partial 16S ribosomal RNA". It matches the Rfam family "Bacterial small subunit ribosomal RNA", at positions 524 to 776 of the family's 1533-position model. The record is from RNAcentral.